GGCCUACACAUGCAAGUCGAGCGGAAACGAUGGAAGCUUGCUUCCAGGCGUCGAGCGGCGGACGGGUGAGUAAUGCAUGGGAAUCUGCCCGAUAGUGGGGGAUAACCUGGGGAAACCCAGGCUAAUACCGCAUACGUCCUACGGGAGAAAGCAGGGGAUCUUCGGACCUUGCGCUAUCGGAUGAGCCCAUGUCGGAUUAGCUUGUUGGUGGGGUAAUGGCCUACCAAGGCGACGAUCCGUAGCUGGUCUGAGAGGAUGAUCAGCCACAUCGGGACUGAGACACGGCCCGAACUCCUACGGGAGGCAGCAGUGGGGAAUAUUGGACAAUGGGCGAAAGCCUGAUCCAGCCAUGCCGCGUGUGUGAAGAAGGCCUUCGGGUUGUAAAGCACUUUCAGUGAGGAAGAACGCCUCUGGCCCAAUACGCCAGAGGGAAGACAUCACUCACAGAAGAAGCACCGGCUAACUCCGUGCCAGCAGCCGCGGUAAUACGGAGGGUGCGAGCGUUAAUCGGAAUUACUGGGCGUAAAGCGCGCGUAGGUGGCUUGAUAAGCCGGUUGUGAAAGCCCCGGGCUCAACCUGGGAAUGGCAUCCGGAACUGUCAGGCUAGAGUGCAGGAGAGGAAGGUAGAAUUCCCGGUGUAGCGGUGAAAUGCGUAGAGAUCGGGAGGAAUACCAGUGGCGAAGGCGGCCUUCUGGACUGACACUGACACUGAGGUGCGAAAGCGUGGGUAGCAAACAGGAUUAGAUACCCUGGUAGUCCACGCCGUAAACGAUGUCGACUAGCCGUUGGGCUCCUUGAGAGCUUUGUGGCGCAGUUAACGCGAUAAGUCGACCGCCUGGGGAGUACGGCCGCAAGGUUAAAACUCAAAUGAAUUGACGGGGGCCCGCACAAGCGGUGGAGCAUGUGGUUUAAUUCGAUGCAACGCGAAGAACCUUACCUACCCUUGACAUCGAGAGAACUUUCCAGAGAUGGAUUGGUGCCUUCGGGAACUCUCAAACAAGUGCUGCAUGGCUGUCGUCAGCUCGUGUUGGGAAAUGUUGGGUAAGUCCCGUAACGAGCGCACCCUUGUCCCUAUUUGCCAGCGAUUCGGUCGGGAA
RNAcentral lists this ribosomal RNA (1097 nucleotides) under Halomonas cupida. RNAcentral's name for it is "bacterial SSU rRNA". It matches the Rfam family "Bacterial small subunit ribosomal RNA", at positions 45 to 1137 of the family's 1533-position model. Lineage: Bacteria; Pseudomonadati; Pseudomonadota; Gammaproteobacteria; Oceanospirillales; Halomonadaceae. The record is from RNAcentral.